GAUGAACGCUGGCGGCGUGCCUAAUACUUGCAAGUCGAGCGAACAGAUAAGGAGCUUGCUCCUUUGACGUUAGCGGCGGACGGGUGAGUAACACGUGGAUAACCUACCUAUAAGACUGGGAUAACUUCGGGAAACCGGAGCUAAUACCGGAUAACAUAUUGAACCGCAUGGUUCAAUAGUGAAAGGCGGCUUUGCUGUCACUUAUAGAUGGAUCCGCGCCGUAUUAGCUAGUUGGUAAGGUAACGGCUUACCAAGGCAACGAUACGUAGCCGACCUGAGAGGGUGAUCGGCCACACUGGAACUGAGACACGGUCCAGACUCCUACGGGAGGCAGCAGUAGGGAAUCUUCCGCAAAGGGCGAAAGCCUGACGGAGCAACGCCGCGUGAGUGAUGAAGGUCUUCGGAUCGUAAAACUCUGUUAUCAGGGAAGAACAAAUGUGUAAGUAACUGUGCACAUCUUGACGGUACCUGAUCAGAAAGCCACGGCUAACUACGUG
This 497-nucleotide ribosomal RNA is filed under the name uncultured bacterium. RNAcentral's name for it is "partial 16S ribosomal RNA". It matches the Rfam family "Bacterial small subunit ribosomal RNA", at positions 28 to 507 of the family's 1533-position model. The record is from RNAcentral.